UCAAGCUACAAAGAGCACAAGGGGAAUGCCUUGGCACCGAGAGCCGAAGAAGGACGUGACUAACUGCGAUAAGCUGCGGGGAGCCGUAAGUAGGCUUUGAUCCGCAGAUUUCCGAAUGGAGCAAUCCGGCAAGAGGAAAGUCUUGUCAUCAUAUACUGAAUACAUAGGUAUAUGAGGGGAACCGCCUGAACUGAAACAUCUAAGUAGGGCGAGGAAGAGAAAUCAACUGAGAUUCCGUAAGUAGUGGCGAGCGAACGCGGAAGAGGCCAAACCGAGAGUAGUAAUACUUUCGGGGUUCGGACAGAAUACGGCAUUGUAAAGGUUUAGUGGAAUGGAAUGGGAAGUCCAACCGAAGAAGGUGAGAGUCCUGUACACGAAAAGCCUGAACAGCCAUCUGUAUCCAGAGUACCGCCGGACACGUGAAACCCGGUGGGAAUAUGGGGGGACCAUCCUCCAAGCCUAAAUACUACUCGGUGACCGAUAGUGAAGAAGUACUGUGAAGGAAAGGUGAAAAGUACCCCUGACGGGGAGUGAAAAAGAACCUGAAACCUUGUGUUUACAAGCACCGAAAGCUCAUCAAAGAGCGAUCGGGUACCUUUUGUAGAAUGGUCCGGCGAGUGAAUGUAACCGGCGAGGUUAAGCACUUAAGGUGUGAAGCCGCAGCGAGAGCAAGUCUGAAUAGGGCGUAUGAAGUCGGUUGUAUUCGACCCGAAACCGGGUGACCUACCCAUGGUCAGGUUGAAGUAAAGGUAAAACUUUAUGGAGGACCGAACCGACUCCCGUUGAAAUGGUAGCGGAUGAACUGUGGGUAGCGGAGAAAUUCCAAUCGAACCCGGAGAUAGCUGGUUCUCUCCGAAAUAGCUUUAGGGCUAGCCUUGAAAUAGAUUACCGGAGGUAAAGCACUGAAUUGGCUAGGGGCCGAGAGGUUACUGAACCUUAUCAAACUAAGAAUGCCGGAUAAUCGUUUUUCAGGAGUCAGACAGUGGGAGAUAAGUUUCAUUGUCAAAAGGGAAACAGCCCAGACCCACAGCUAAGGUCCCCAAGUAUAGUUAAGUGGAAAAGGAUGUGGAAUUGCACAGACAACCAGGAUGUUGGCUUAGAAGCAGCCACUCAUUUAAAGAGUGCGUAAUAGCUCACUGGUCGAGUGAUUGUGCGCCGAAAAUGUACCGGGGCUAAACUGUGUACCGAAGUCUAGGGAUCGUGAUAAACGAUCGGUAGGGGAGCAACGUGUGCGGGCUGAAGCCGAAGCGGAAGCGACGGUGGACUGCACGGGAGAGAGAAUGCCGGCAUGAGUAGCGAGAGCAAAGUGAGAAUCUUUGCCGUCGAAAGCCUAAGGUUUCCUGAGGAAGGCUCGUCCUCUCAGGGUAAGUCAGGACCUAAGCCGAGGACAAAAGUCGUAGGCGAUGGACAACUGGUUGAUAUUCCAGUACCACCUUUAGCGUUUGACUGAAGCAGUGACACAGAAGGAUAGACAGAGCGCGUGACUGGUAGAGCGCGUCCAAGCGAUGAGGGAGUUGAUUAGUGAAGUACGGUCAACAAUCCUGGGUCGUGAUGGGGACUGAAAAUAAGUAGGGAAGCUGUUGAAUUCACGCUGGCGAGAAAAGCUGCUAAGGAGCGAAAGGGUGCCUGUACCGCAAACCGACACAGGUAGGCGAGGAGAGAAUCCUAAGACGAGCGGGAGAACCCAUGUUAAGGAACUCGGCAAAAUGACCCUGUAACUUCGGGAUAAAGGGAGCCACGAGAGUGGCCGCAGAGAAUAGGCCCAAGCGACUGUUUACCAAAAACACAGGUCUGUGCGAAGUAGAGAUACGACGUAUACGGGCUGACGCCUGCCCAGUGCCGGAAGGUUAAGGGGAAGUGUUAGGGCAACCGAAGCACGGAACUUAAGCCCCGGUGAACGGCGGCCGUAACUAUAACGGUCCUAAGGUAGCGAAAUUCCUUGUCGGGUAAG
RNAcentral lists this ribosomal RNA (1951 nucleotides) under human gut metagenome. RNAcentral's name for it is "bacterial LSU rRNA". It matches the Rfam family "Bacterial large subunit ribosomal RNA", at positions 3 to 1980 of the family's 2925-position model. The record is from RNAcentral.